UUAAGUUCAGCGGGUAUCCCUACCUGAUCCGAGGUCAACCUUGAGAAGUUGGGGGUUCUGGCGGGCAACCGGGCGGUCCCUCGAGCGAGAAGAAUUACUACGCUGAGAGCCGACCGGCGCUGCCACUAGAUUUGAGGGCCGCGAGACCGCGUGCCCCAACACCACGCCAGGCGUGAGUGGUCAUAAUGACGCUCGAACAG
This 200-nucleotide unclassified non-coding RNA is filed under the name Leotiomycetes sp. RNAcentral's name for it is "partial internal transcribed spacer 2". The record is from RNAcentral. Lineage: Eukaryota; Fungi; Ascomycota; Leotiomycetes.